RNAcentral lists this ribosomal RNA (488 nucleotides) under uncultured bacterium. RNAcentral's name for it is "partial 16S ribosomal RNA". It matches the Rfam family "Bacterial small subunit ribosomal RNA", at positions 28 to 507 of the family's 1533-position model. The record is from RNAcentral.
GACGAACGCUGGCGGCGUGCUUAACACAUGCAAGUCGAACGAAAAUACCAAGCUUGCUUGGUUGAUUAGUGGCGAACGGGUGAGUAACACGUGAGUAACCUGCCCCUUACUUUCCUGGAUAACUGCUCGAAAGGGUAGCUAAUACGGGAUAUUCUGACCAGCCUGCAUGGGUUGGUUUGGAAAGGUUGUUUUUCUGGUAAGGGAUGGGCUCGCGGCCUAUCAGCUUGUUGGUGGGGUGAUGGCCUACCAAGGCUUUGACGGGUAGCCGGCCUGAGAGGGUGGACGGUCACACUGGGACUGAGAUACGGCCCAGACUCCUACGGGAGGCAGCAGUGGGGAAUAUUGCACAAGGGGCGCAAGCCUGAUGCAGCGACGCCGCGUGAGGGAGGAAGGCCUUCGGGUUGUAAACCUCUUUCGUCAGGGAACAAGGCACUGCUUGUGUGGUGGUGUUGAGGGUACCUGGAUAAGAAGCGCCGGCUAACUACGUG